GCUUGCACCGGGUGGAUGAGUGGCGAACGGGUGAGUAACACGUGAGUAACCUGCCCCUGACUUCGGGAUAAGCCCGGGAAACUGGGUCUAAUACCGGAUACGACUGCCGGACGCAUGUCUGGUGGUGGAAAGUUUUUUCGGUUGGGGAUGGGCUCGCGGCCUAUCAGUUUGUUGGUGAGGUAAUGGCUCACCAAGACGACGACGGGUAGCCGGCCUGAGAGGGCGACCGGCCACACUGGGACUGAGACACGGCCCAGACUCCUACGGGAGGCAGCAGUGGGGAAUAUUGCACAAUGGGGGAAACCCUGAUGCAGCGACGCAGCGUGCGGGAUGACGGCCUUCGGGUUGUAAACCGCUUUCAGCAGGGAAGAAGCGCAAGUGACGGUACCUGCAGAAGAAGUACCGGCUAACUACGUGCCAGCAGCCGCGGUAAUACGUAGGGUACGAGCGUUGUCCGGAAUUAUUGGGCGUAAAGAGCUCGUAGGUGGUUGGUCACGUCUGCUGUGGAAACGCAACGCUUAACGUUGCGCGUGCAGUGGGUACGGGCUGACUAGAGUGCAGUAGGGGAGUCUGGAAUUCCUGGUGUAGCGGUGAAAUGCGCAGAUAUCAGGAGGAACACCGGUGGCGAAGGCGGGACUCUGGGCUGUAACUGACACUGAGGAGCGAAAGCAUGGGGAGCGAACAGGAUUAGAUACCCUGGUAGUCCAUGCCGUAAACGUUGGGCACUAGGUGUGGGGGGCAUUCCACGUUCUCCGCGCCGUAGCUAACGCAUUAAGUGCCCCGCCUGGGGAGUACGGUCGCAAGGCUAAAACUCAAAGGAAUUGACGGGGGCCCGCACAAGCGGCGGAGCAUGCGGAUUAAUUCGAUGCAACGCGAAGAACCUUACCAAGGCUUGACAUACACCGGACCGUCCUGGAAACAGGUCCUCUUCUUUGAAGCUGGUGUACAGGUGGUGCAUGGUUGUCGUCAGCUCGUGUCGUGAGAUGUUGGGUUAAGUCCCGCAACGAGCGCAACCCUCGUUCUAUGUUGCCAGCACGUGAUGGUGGGAACUCAUAGGAGACUGCCGGGGUCAACUCGGAGGAAGGUGGGGAUGACGUCAAAUCAUCAUGCCCUUUAUGUCUUGGGCUUCACGCAUGCUACAAUGGCUGGUACAGAGAGAGGCGAACCCGUGAGGGCAAGCGAAUCCCUUAAAGCCAGUCUCAGUUCGGAUCGUAGUCUGCAAUUCGACUACGUGAAGUCGGAGUCGCUAGUAAUCGCAGAUCAGCAACGCUGCGGUGAAUACGUUCCCGGGCCUUGUACACACCGCCCGUCAAGUCACGAAAGUCGGUAACACCCGAAGCCGGUGGCCUAACCGUAAGGAGGGGG
RNAcentral lists this ribosomal RNA (1365 nucleotides) under Brevibacterium casei. RNAcentral's name for it is "bacterial SSU rRNA". It matches the Rfam family "Bacterial small subunit ribosomal RNA", at positions 78 to 1452 of the family's 1533-position model. Lineage: Bacteria; Bacillati; Actinomycetota; Actinomycetes; Micrococcales; Brevibacteriaceae. The record is from RNAcentral.